This 483-nucleotide ribosomal RNA is filed under the name uncultured bacterium. RNAcentral describes it as "partial 16S ribosomal RNA". It matches the Rfam family "Bacterial small subunit ribosomal RNA", at positions 30 to 507 of the family's 1533-position model. The record is from RNAcentral.
UUGAACGCUGGCGGCCGGCCUAACACAUGCAAGUCGAGCGGAUGAAGGGAGCUUGCUCCUGGAUUCAGCGGCGGACGGGUGAGUAAUGCCUAGGAAUCUGCCUGGUAGUGGGGGAUAACGUCCGGAAACGGGCGCUAAUACCGCAUACGUCCUGAGGGAGAAAGUGGGGGAUCUUCGGACCUCACGCUAUCAGAUGAGCCUAGGUCGGAUUAGCUAGUUGGUGGGGUAAAGGCCUACCAAGGCGACGAUCCGUAACAGGUCUGAGAGGAUGAUCAGUCACACUGGAACUGAGACACGGUCCAGACUCCUACGGGAGGCAGCAGUGGGGAAUAUUGGACAGUGGGCGAAAGCAUGAUCCAGCCAUGCCGAGUGUGUGAAGAAGGUCUUCGGAUUGUAAAGCACUUUAAGUUGGGAGGAAGGGCAGUAAGUUAAUACCUUGCUGUUUUGACGUUACCAACAGAAUAAGCACCGGCUAACUUCGUG